CAAAUGCAUGAGUUUUGGAAAUCCUGAGAUGAUCUUGUAUUGAGAGUUCGAAGUGUUGUAUCCUACCGUGUUGGAUAUGAUAUUUUGUUCCUUCUGAGUGAGAGAAUCUCAAUAUCCAAUUCAAGAUAUCUAAAUGUUUUAAAGGAAUUGUAUUUCAAAAUCUUUUUCAAAUUUUCAACAUUAGGAUGAUAAUUGAUAGAUACGGUACCAAUUUUGGGCGUUGCGAGGGUGCUAACCCUUCCUCGUGCGUAACCGACUCCCGAAUCCUUCUUCUAAUUUUUCAUAGACUAAAAACAUUAUUUUAAUAAACCAAAAUGCUUUAUUAAAAUGAUCGAUCACAGGGUGACCUAAU
Molecule: long non-coding RNA, 352 nt
Filed under: Gossypium barbadense (sea-island cotton)
Lineage: Eukaryota; Viridiplantae; Streptophyta; Magnoliopsida; Malvales; Malvaceae
Description: long non-coding RNA (GBAR_LNC007595)
Source: RNAcentral